This is a long non-coding RNA of Xenopus laevis (African clawed frog), 1660 nucleotides long. RefSeq lists it as uncharacterized. The transcript has 8 exons. The record is from RefSeq and is a predicted model, not a curated record. Lineage: Eukaryota; Metazoa; Chordata; Amphibia; Anura; Pipidae.
AGUUUAUUUUAUUAAUUAUUUUUCUUCUCUUCUCCAGCUUUUUGAUGCGUGGAUGUACCAGCAGGUGCACUGAGCAUUCAGCCUUCAUACCAUGAUGAUGAAUGGUGGGAGAAUGCAAAGAAUACCUAUUACAAACUCUCCGGCCCAGUGUGAUAAUGCUUGGUGGAGCAGCCAUACCUGCAGUAGGACUGGUGUCACUCACAGGUUGAUCCUGGAGCUCUACAUUGCGGUAUAAUCGAAGUCCCUAAAGGCUUCCGCAAUCUCCUUUUCCAUGGCCAAGGAACCCUCGGAGGGAGGAGUUAGAACUAGAUGUUGAUCUUUAUCCUCGGAAAGUCUAACAUCCUCAGCAUUUCGUAAAUUACAAUGCCCAGAGACCACCAGUCGACAGAUCUUGAGUAUGGCUCCCUGGCGAGGACUUCUGGUGCCAUGUAGCCAAAAGAUCCUUUCAGGCUACUUGUUCGGCCUUCGUAGCCAAUUCCUGAAAAAAACAGUUAUUGUAAGUCUUUAAGCAGCCGCCAGCAACGUACUCCAUCAGAAAGAAUAGAUGGUAUUCUGACUGGAAAGUGGCGUGGAUAUCCACAACGAAAGGGUGGUCAGCAACGGCGAAAGCAACCCGUUUCUCUAGCAAGAUCCUGAAUAUUAAAAGCAUUCAUUGUCAGAACAAGGGACAUGGGUAAGUAACAAAGCCAACCAUGCUAAAAUGAUCAUUUCCAUAAACUGACCUUUCAAUGCCCCUUGAGGAGGUGAUGCUCUCCUUUUUCAAGAUUUUCAGGGCAUAGGAUCUUUUGGUUGCCGCGUGUUCAACAAGGAGAACCUGGAAUAAGAGAGAUUCUCAGGAAAUGCAGGAAGAUACAUGCAGAACAUCCAUACCCCUUUCAGAGAGCUGCAAGAAUCGAUCCAUACUUGCCCCCAGCAUUGCAAGGUUGCAUCUUACUGUGGGUCCUUUGUCACUGCCAGUGGACAUCCUUCUGCUGCAUCAGGUGGAGUUGGGCUGAUGUUUUCUUCAUCCACAGAUAUCUCACUAUAAGGAAAAGUCUCUAAUCGUCAGGCAUGAAGCGACAGCUUGAUAUUUCCAUCUGCCUUACCUCAGAAUGCCGGUGCCGACGCAAGAUGUUAGAAUGUCCGGCACCCAUCUUGACGCUCCUGUAUGAGAAAAAAAAAGGUUGGUGUAAGUGGCUGCUUCAGUGGAGAUAAAGAAUACAACUGUUUGUAGCUGCUGGUAAACUACAAGCUCAAGACAAGCACCUGUCUGUAACCUCACUGCUACACAUCUGAGCAGAAAGUCACAUUUUCCCAAUAAUCCUCGGCAACAAAGAAGAUAAAGAAGACGAUUAAUCAAGAACUGAGACUGACGUCUAGAAAUAAACAGCAACCGUCCAAUUUCAUUUUUUGGGUAUCUUGAUGCAGAAAGUCAUAUUUUCCCAAUAAUCCUCGGCGACAAAGAAGACAUUUAAUCAAGAACGGAGACUGACGUCUAGAAAUAAACAGCAACCAUCCAAUUUAAUUUUCGGGUUUCUUGAUGCAGGUAAGUGUUCAGUCUCUUUGUCUAAAUGAUACCUACCUACCUGCUGGCUGAUCUAGAGGAAGGUGAAACCCCCAUCUGAACCUUGUAUUUCUCCCAUUGCUAAAAGUCAAUCAACCCUUUCUUGAAGCUGCGUAA